UUGGAAACUUGUUCAUGGGGAUGUGUUUCGACCUCCUCAUUAUCUAGCGCUAAUUUCAGCUCUUGUUGGUACUGGGGCACAACUGGCAUUGCUUGUCCUCCUUGUCAUACUGUUGGCAAUUGUGGGGAUGUUGUAUGUUGGGAGAGGAUCCAUUGUUACAACUUUUAUUGUAUGUUAUGCUUUGACAUCAUUCAUUUCGGGCUAUGUUAGUGGUGCAAUGUACUCACGGAAUGGUGGGAAAAGCUGGAUCAAGUCCAUGAUUCUGACAGCAUCGCUCUUUCCAUUUAUGUGCUUUGGAAUUGGUUUCGUUCUGAACACAAUCGCUAUAUUUUAUGGGUCUCUAGCAGCAAUUCCCUUUGGCACAAUGGUGGUUGUCUUUGUCAUCUGGGCAUUCAUUUCCUUCCCCUUGGCUCUUCUGGGUACAGUUGUUGGAAGAAACUGCAGUGGUGCUCCAAACAAUCCGUGCCGUGUCAAGACCAUUCCUCGCCCUAUACCUGUGAAAAAGUGGUACUUGACACCAUCUGUAAUCUCCUUGAUGGGUGGUCUGCUACCAUUUGGCAGCAUAUUUAUCGAGAUGUAUUUCGUCUUCACAUCCUUCUGGAAUUAC
Molecule: unclassified non-coding RNA, 607 nt
Filed under: Hevea brasiliensis (rubber tree)
Lineage: Eukaryota; Viridiplantae; Streptophyta; Magnoliopsida; Malpighiales; Euphorbiaceae
Source: RNAcentral